Quercus robur (English oak) is the source of this 503-nucleotide long non-coding RNA. RefSeq lists it as uncharacterized. The record is from RefSeq and is a predicted model, not a curated record. Lineage: Eukaryota; Viridiplantae; Streptophyta; Magnoliopsida; Fagales; Fagaceae. The transcript has 2 exons.
UCAGUGAUUAACUUGUGUUGCUUAGUGUUUCAAUUUUAAGGACUCAGUGACAAACUGAUGCUGUAUUUGUACUUCUAUUUUACUUGUGGGGAAAAUUUGAUGAGUUUUCUAUGUUUCUAUUUUGCAUUUCGUAUUGUUCUGCUGGAUGAGAAUGGUGAUGUGGUGGACUUAGACAAAGAUAAUGAGCUACUGUCUUCGAUCUCAAGUAAACAACAUUUAUUCCAAAAUAGGUGGUCACCUUGUGUGAUAUGGCGAUGUCAACUUAUGAAGGUUUUAUGACUUAAGACAACGGAUACUUGAAAGCCUAAACCUUUGGUAGAGUAAGAAGUGUGGACCAGAAACAGAAUUAGAAGUAUAAGGAGUGAAAAGAAAGAUCAAUUUUUAUGACAUAUAAUAAUAUUUUUUCAUUGUUUCAUGACAUAUAAUAUAUGUGUCUUCUUCAAUUGGAAUUUAUUGUAGAUGUGGGAUUUAUAUUAUGGGUGAAAGCUAUAGUAGGUUCUAUA